CUGUUCUGUGGUUCGUCUCGCUGUGGAUCAGCCUGGGCUCUAAGAAAAGAGGCUCAGAGCUGAGGCCUGUGAAGGGCUUUGAUGAACUAGGAUAUAAUAGUCGAAACACAAUAUGUUUUCUUCUCAAAACAUUGUAUAAUGGAUUAUUUUUUGAGCUUUUUUAGAAAUACGUCGACUUUUUGGAUUUUCGUCGGUUGAAUUUUUGGAUCUCCGGGACAGCAUUGCAAGCCUCGGACUCGACUACGGUGGAUGGCCGGCCGGUGGACAGGAUUUUCCGCGCGCCCUAUAGGAAAGUUGGGGGAAGCCUUGUCUGUUCAUUUAAUGUUUGUUUUUCAACGGGUUUGGGCUAUUUUUACUCAGAUAUCUUCUAUGUGUGAUUUAUGUGAGAUCAAAUCGUUGAAUCGUUGUCAAGGUUUUGGGAUUUUUGUUAAAAUGUGAAAUAUUGCAGUAGGCCACGUUUCGAAAGCAAUGUGAAAUUAAACGGUUUUGGCGGUUAAGUAACAUUAGUUGGCGAAUCGUUUUACUGAAAAUUUUGUUAAGUAAUCAACGUAUUAUGGUUACGACUCAUUUACAACCAACUUGAUGUAUUUUUACAUGUUUAUCUUAAAAUUUGACGUUUCAGAUGUCCAACUGGUGAUCUUAGCUUAAUGUUGGACUACCUUGACAGCAACCACGCUAUUUUCCGCGUCUGCUACUUUAGACUUCUUCAACAUUAACUGUAUUUAUGUGUCGUUGCUUUCAUGGCAUUAUAAAGCAUCUAAGUAGCGUCAAUUCUUCUUUAUAUGUGGGAUUUGCAGUAUAUAAAGUAGCUUGAUGCUUAGCCUGCUACUGAGCGUCAUGAAACAAAACGUUCAGUUAGCUGCUUACCAGAUAAUUACUGGCCAAUUAAAUCUCUAUUUAAGAAAGCCGAUUCUUAUUUUACUGUUCGGGCUAUUUCAGACGUAUUAUUUACAGUGGCAAUUUGUUCUAAGUUGUAUUUUAACGUCGCCGUGAGGACCGUAAUCAAGGCUGUAAUAGCUAGCAUACUGGGUCUGCAUUAGCGCUCAACAUGGCGGCGUUUAGCGUUAUGCUUCUUGUUGUGAACGAGAAAAGAUGGAGUCUGGAAUAUUCUUGUUGGCUAACUUGAGGAGCCUAAUUGCCACGCAUCUUCUGAAUGCGUCUUGUUCCGUGACAAAUAAAGGCACAGCUAUGUCAGUAUUUUAUAUUGCCUGUAUUAACGUCAUAGAAUGUUUAGUGUCGAAAGCGCUUGGAAGUUAGCUUGCUUGGAUUUCAGUAGUCUCGACUGUUCGUCGGUGUCGAAAGUUGAAGCCAUUUUGCCAGAUAACUACGUUCAUUUUGGUCUAUUGUUGGACAGAUAAGCUUGCUGUUUAGUCAGUAUUCGAUUAUAAACACCUGUAUUUAGUGUGGUGAUCAUUAUGAUGGCAUACUCCCUUUUUUAUUAAGUCCUUUGGCUAUUUAAAGUUUGGGUGUUACGGUUUAAGUCUUAAUCUUGGCUUGGCUAGGAAAUACCUUUAGCUUGUUAUACAAUAGAUUGUGGCCAAAGGGAAGGUAACGUUUGGCCGGUGCUGUUGACGAUCUAAUAUCCACAAGGAAAACGCUACACUGGUAAUGUAAGUUCUUUUAGAAGCCAUAAAUGACAGUCGUCCCAUUAAAGCAGUAGUGGGCUGUUUAGCAUAACGUACUGCAAUACGUUUUUGUUGACCCUUUGUGUGUUUUAGCUUAAUUCUGUAAAAAGGAAGUGGAAGUAAAGUAAACACUACACAGUAGUUGAACCACCACAGUGGUAGGAUUGCAUAAUGUCAAUCUGGUGUAGUGUUCAUUACAUGUAAUGACUCUGUAACAGUGCCCAGAAGAACAUUUUGUCACAUUGUAUGACACUUUCCACUGCCUUUUGUUUAAAUAAAGAAACUAAAGCAACAUGAUGGUGUAUGGGUUGUUUCAUCUUUUGCAAAUUUUUCCAAGUUAAUUUUUCUGUGUCAGUGUUAACCUGCCAGACAUGCUUUAGCUGGUGCAUGGGGCAUGUUUCUCAGCUGUCACCAGCAUGAACAUGCUUGUUUGCCAUCAUCUGUUUUUCUUUGACAGGUUCAUCAGAGUGGAAACCUCACUGAGGCUCAGAUGCAGGGAUAGAUGCCACAUCUUCAGUGUCCAUGUGAAGUCCAGCCAUGUUCUCUUUUGAGUUAUUUUAUUAAACUGAGAAAACUACACGCCUGCCAGUGAGAAUGAUCACCAUUGCACAUUUUCAAUGCGGAAACGGGUCCCGGAAGGCUGUCAAACAUGCUCCCUCUACUGCUCCAAGGAGGUUAAUGCAUAGAGGACCACUGGUGUCAGAGCUGUCAGGCCACAAAAGCAGGACUUGUUGCAUCGUCCUUGUAAAGCCACCGCUUCCUCUUUAAGAAACCACUGACAUUUGAACUCCUUGAACAUUGUUUGACUUCCCACUUUGAUCUCAGUCCAAGUCAGCUGGAGAGCAGAUUAGUCAUGCUUUCGUUGACAUCACUGAGGA
Molecule: RNA transcript, 2503 nt
Organism: Amphiprion ocellaris (clown anemonefish)
Lineage: Eukaryota; Metazoa; Chordata; Actinopteri; Pomacentridae
Gene name: zinc finger and BTB domain containing 4
Exons: 3
Source: RefSeq, a predicted model, not a curated record